UCGGACGUGGUGCGCGGCGCACCCCUGCCCCAAUUUGCCAGACAUUCCGAAAUUGCAAGCAGGUGCUCUGGGUUCGACUCCCAGCGUCCGAG
Non-coding RNA from Mycena crocata, 92 nucleotides. Lineage: Eukaryota; Fungi; Basidiomycota; Agaricomycetes; Agaricales; Mycenaceae. The record is from the annotation of a GenBank genome assembly.